UGCCAGAUAGUAAACUCUGCUCAUGCAGUCAGUUGUCUAGCCUUGCACCUUUGCUGAGAUUUUUCCAUUGAAAAGCUUUACCUUAACUAACCCUGUUUUUCUUGCCUAGCUCCGCUGACCCAGCUGCCCGGUUCCACCUGCUCUGUCCUGCCAUCUCCUGCACUUCAGAUCCAGCCCUGACCAGACCUCCCGUCUGCCUCCCUCACCUUGGACCUGCUGCUUGUUCCUGGAACCCCUGCUCGUCGUGGAGGGUCUCUGCCUGCCGUGUGCCCCCCUCAGCUCUGGAAAAUACCCCGCCUGUCGCCCACCCCCCGGAACGAGGCCCUCCUGCCCGCUCUCCGCCGCCGACCCACCCCACGGAGAACGCCAACCGGGCUGCCGGUUCCUGGUACAGUCACCCCCCCCAACCUCCCCUUUAGUUCAGUUAUUCCAGUCACCAGGUUCCCCACCCCGUCCAGCACUCCCCUUUGUUUUUGUUAAUAAAAUCCACCUUCGUUCUUGCCUCAGUCCCUCGUCUGUGUGCUCUCUGCUUGGGUUCACCCCCACGCCGUGACAUCCACAGGUUUUCAGUUGGAUUUAGAUCUGGUGAUUGAGCAGCCAAGGCAUGGUUCCAAUGUUCUGGUUCUCCAUCCAGGAUUUAACUGACUUUGUCUUGUUGGAAAAUCCAUUCAUUGGAGGCAGGAAAGAGUUUUCCAGCUGAUGGAAGAAGACUGUUUUCUAGAGUAGUCCUGUACAUGACCUGGUUCAUUCACCCUGUUCCACCCAGACUGAAACUACCCCAGAUGGUCACUGAUCCACCCCUAUGUUUUACUGUAGGGGCAGACAGUCUGGUUUGUAGCUUCUCCAGGCUUCCUCCUAACCAAUAAGUUGUCUGGAGUGGACAUCAACUGAAAACUGGAUUCAUCCCUGAAGAGAACCUUAGUCCAAUCAUCAACAGUCCAAUCCUUGUGAUCCCAGCAAAGAGUAACCAGCUUUCCUCUGCCUUUCCUGGAUGAUGAGCUUCUUCCUGCCCUGUACGACUUCAGACCGGAUUCAAGAAGUCACUUUCCAACUGUCCUUGCUGAACAAGUCCCAUUUCUCCACAGUGUCCACUCAUUUUUAAGGUCACUGGAGGUCUGAGGACGAUUCCUGACACAGGAACGGGUGAGUGACGGUCAUCUGGUGGGUAGAAAAACAUUUCCUGACCAGCUAGCAGUUUGGUAGAACCAUGUUGGACUUGUUUUUUCUUGGUGUAAUGAUAUAUAAAGGAUGGAUGGAUUCUUUAAAGUUGCUUUUUGCCUGUUUUGCCUUUAUUAUUGGAUUAUGGUUAUUGGAUUAUGGUUAAUAUCUAAGUAAAAAUCAAACCAUGGCCACUACAGUAAAGCCUCAGCUUUUGUACAUGGUGUGGAUUAUUUCAUCAGAGAAUGGAUGCUGUGUGUUGUGGAAAUCAAAAACCUCUUUUCUCAUCACAGUGAGGAGCAACCUGGUGUUUUCUCAGGUUCCAUUUUUUUACCCUUAAGGUGAGCCACUACAGAUGAAUAGGAUAACAUUUUUAGCUAUGAAACCUUCCCAGUUAUUACACAUUUUCAGAUAUUUAAUGCCUAAAUAUUCAAUGGAAGCAAUAGACAGAUAGAUACAGAUAGAUACAGAUGGAUAGAUAUACAGACAGACAGCUAGAUAGACAGAUAAUAUUGCCAUAAUUUGCACAGAUUUCUAGAACAUUGGAUAUUCUCUUGGAUAUCUCUUUAUAUCACUCUGUAAAUCAGAAAAUACUGUGAGCAGCCAGAUAAAAAGGGAAAAAAAAAAUCAAUUUUCCAAAUCAAUUUUCACCAUGGUUUUAGGAAUGAAAUGUUUUACAAAGCAGGCUGCUACUGAUAAAUAACACCUUCAGAAAAAACCUUCAGAAUAUGAAGAGGACUGGACACUUUAUUGUAUCUCAGUUGUACUAAACUAAUUCUUGGAUCUUUUUUGAAACCUACAAAUGCAAAAAAGAAUAUGUUUUGGAGGAGCAAAAACUCUGAAUAGCCCGCAGUGUCUCACCUUCAGUGAAAAGUCAUUACCUCGCAAUGAUAAUGACCAAAAUUUAAUGCAGCAGCAUCCAACUGUGAAACCUUGUGAGAUCAUCGUAAUUAACUUUUAGAAUGUUUUAAGUUAUGGAAAUAAACAAAGAAGGGAAUAUGUUAAAAUAUGCUCAUUAGCUCUAAGAUAAAGGAUAUGAAAAUGUGAGCAAAUGCUUCGCUGAGGAGCAUUUUGUGAAGGCUGGAGGGCUUAGUUUUGGUUCACUUUGUCCACCUUGUUUGCUGUGGAUUUGACGUGCUCACCUCCCCUCCUGCUGUGGUUUAAUCCUCCUCCAUGUUCAGGACUGUGAGUCAGCAGAGCUCUGCACUCGGCUGCAGACAGGAAGGACGUUCGACAAAGGAACAACAGACUUUUAGGUGACACACUUCCUACGAAAUACAACAGAAAUGCAACAGGACUCCACGUUCCCCAUCCUGCCCUCUGUCCAGCUCACAGGUUUGUCCGUUAUCCCGUCUGUGGCCUCCCAGUACCAUCUGUUGAUGAUGAUGGUGGUGUGAUGGUUUCCCAGAGACUAUGGGUUGAGGAGGAAUUGGAAGUUUGUCGGCUUAGACCUGGUGUCAUUCCAUCAGUGUUAAACUUCCCGGCUCAUCUUGGAAGAGUACGUGCCAGAAAGACCACGACCAAGCAGCCUUGAGAUCUUAGACAGCGUCUCCCUGAGGUCCCUCUCUAUCUCCCCACACAUCCACCAACCACUGGAACACAUCUCCAAAGUUCUGCUGGACCAGCUCAGCUUCCCCUCAGAAGAAGUGGUGCCACCUGCCAGAUGAAGGAGCCUUUUGAGAGGCAGCUGGCAUCGUGAUUGGACUGUACUUUGGUCUGUUCCAAUCCAGCUUCAGCUCCAGAGACGGCAGGCGGGACGAGUCAACGGAGGCUGGAUGGACAAAGGCAUGCAGCUGAGUACAAUCCAGAAAACAACAGAGGAGGAGUGCAGCGACCCAGAGCCAGAACAACCAGAGUAGCAUCGUAUGUCUUUUAGAAAACAUCUUAGUAGAGCCUUUGGUAUGAAAAAACGCCAUCAUAUACAUCGUAUAUUGUACAAAUAACAAGUCAAAGGAAAGAGACAUACAUUGUAGAAUUGUAGUAAUUGUGGGCUGACUGAUUUACUGAUUAUCAAUAUUUUAUUUUUUACUGAUUUAGGGUAAUAAAUACAUUUAAAAAUGG
Amphiprion ocellaris (clown anemonefish) is the source of this 3219-nucleotide long non-coding RNA. RefSeq lists it as uncharacterized. Lineage: Eukaryota; Metazoa; Chordata; Actinopteri; Pomacentridae. The transcript has 4 exons. The record is from RefSeq and is a predicted model, not a curated record.